Molecule: ribosomal RNA, 604 nt
Filed under: uncultured bacterium
Lineage: Bacteria
Description: bacterial SSU rRNA
Rfam family: Bacterial small subunit ribosomal RNA
Source: RNAcentral
CAAAGGCUUCGGCCGGUAAAGGAUGGGGAUGCGUCUGAUUAGCUUGCCGGCGGGGUAACGGCCCACCGGGGCGACGAUCAGUAGGGGUUCUGAGAGGAAGGUCCCCCACAUUGGAACUGAGACACGGUCCAAACUCCUACGGGAGGCAGCAGUGAGGAAUAUUGGUCAAUGGGCGCGAGCCUGAACCAGCCAAGUAGCGUGCAGGACGACGGCCCUAUGGGUUGUAAACUGCUUUUAUACGGGGAUAAAGUAUGCCACGUGUGGUUUAUUGCAGGUACCGUAUGAAUAAGGACCGGCUAAUUCCGUGCCAGCAGCCGCGGUAAUACGGAAGGUCCGGGCGUUAUCCGGAUUUAUUGGGUUUAAAGGGAGCGUAGGCCGGGUUUUAAGCGUGCCGUGAAAUGUCGGGGCUCAACCUUGACACUGCGGCGCGAACUGGAGUCCUUGAGUGCGCGGAACGUAUGCGGAAUUCGUGGUGUAGCGGUGAAAUGCUUAGAUAUCACGAAGAACCCCGAUUGCGAAGGCAGCAUACGGCAGCGCUACUGACGCUGAAGCUCGAAGGCGCGGGUAUCGAACAGGAUUAGAUACCCUGGUAGUCCGCGCGGUA